RNAcentral lists this ribosomal RNA (497 nucleotides) under uncultured bacterium. Its description in RNAcentral is "partial 16S ribosomal RNA". It matches the Rfam family "Bacterial small subunit ribosomal RNA", at positions 28 to 507 of the family's 1533-position model. The record is from RNAcentral.
GAUGAACGCUGGCGGCGUGCCUAAUACAUGCAAGUCGAGCGAACAGAUGAGGAGCUUGCUCCUCUGACGUUAGCGGCGGACGGGUGAGUAACACGUGGAUAACCUACCUAUAAGACUGGGAUAAUUUCGGGAAACCGGAGCUAAUACCGGAUAAUAUAUUGAACCGCAUGGUUCAAUAGUGAAAGACGGUUUUGCUGUCACUUAUAGAUGGAUCCGCGCCGCAUUAGCUAGUUGGUAAGGUCACGGCUUACCAAGGCAACGAUGCGUAUCCGACCUGAUAGGGUGAUCGGCCACACUGGAACUGAGACACGGUCCAGACUCCUACGGGAGGCAGCAGUAGGGAAUCUUCCGCAAUGGGCGAAAGCCUGACGGAGCAACGCCGCGUGAGUGAUGAAGGUCUUCGGAUCGUAAAACUCUGUUAUUAGGGAAGAACAAAUGUGUAAGUAACUAUGCACGUCUUGACGGUACCUAAUCAGAAAGCCACGGCUAACUACGUG